UGCCACUGGUAGGGCAAUCAAGG
Molecule: non-coding RNA, 23 nt
Filed under: Rattus norvegicus (Norway rat)
Lineage: Eukaryota; Metazoa; Chordata; Mammalia; Rodentia; Muridae
Source: RNAcentral